RNAcentral lists this ribosomal RNA (780 nucleotides) under uncultured Actinomycetes bacterium. RNAcentral describes it as "bacterial SSU rRNA". It matches the Rfam family "Bacterial small subunit ribosomal RNA", at positions 574 to 1350 of the family's 1533-position model. Lineage: Bacteria; Bacillati; Actinomycetota; Actinomycetes. The record is from RNAcentral.
GGUGGUUGAUCGCGUCGGAAGUGUAAUCUUGGGGCUUAACCCUGAGCGUGCUUUCGAUACGGGUUGACUUGAGGAAGGUAGGGGAGAAUGGAAUUCCUGGUGGAGCGGUGGAAUGCGCAGAUAUCAGGAGGAACACCAGUGGCGAAGGCGGUUCUCUGGGCCUUUCCUGACGCUGAGGAGCGAAAGCGUGGGGAGCGAACAGGCUUAGAUACCCUGGUAGUCCACGCUGUAAACGGUGGGUACUAGGUGUGGGGUCCAUUCCACGGGUUCCGCGCCGUAGCUAACGCUUUAAGUACCCCGCCUGGGGAGUACGGCCGCAAGGCUCAAACUCAAAGGAAUUGACGGGGCCCCGCACAAGCGGCGGAGCAUGCGGAUUAAUUCGAUGCAACGCGUAGAACCUUACCUGGGUUUGACAUGGAUCGGGAGUGCUCAGAGAUGGGUGUGCCUCUUUUGGGGUCGGUUCACAGGUGGUGCAUGGCUGUCGUCAGCUCGUGUCGUGAGAUGUUGGGUUAAGUCCCGCAACGAGCGCAACCCUUGUUCACUGUUGCCAGCGCGUUAUGGUGGGGACUCAGUGGAGACCGCCGGGGUCAACUCGGAGGAAGGUGGGGAUGACGUCAAGUCAUCAUGCCCCUUAUGUCCAGGGCUUCACGCAUGCUACAAUGGCUGGUACAGAGAGUGGCGAGCCUGUGAGGGUGAGCCAAUCCCAGAAAACCGUUCUCAGUUCGGAUUGCAGGCUGCAACUCGCCUGCAUGAAGCCGGAAUCGCUAGUAAUCGUGGAUC